This 463-nucleotide ribosomal RNA is filed under the name uncultured bacterium. RNAcentral's name for it is "partial 16S ribosomal RNA". It matches the Rfam family "Bacterial small subunit ribosomal RNA", at positions 28 to 507 of the family's 1533-position model. The record is from RNAcentral.
GACGAACGCUGGCGGCGCGCCUAACACAUGCAAGUCGAACGGUGAAGAGGAGCUUGCUCCUCGGAACAGUGGCGGACGGGUGAGUAACACGUGAGCAACCUGGCUCUAAGAGGGGGACAACAGUUGGAAACGACUGCUAAUACCGCAUGACGUAUCGGGAUGGCAUCUUCCUGAUACCAAAGAUUUUAUCGCUUAGAGAUGGGCUCGCGUCUGAUUAGAUAGUUGGCGGGGUAACGGCCCACCAAGUCGACGAUCAGUAGCCGGACUGAGAGGUUGAACGGCCACAUUGGGACUGAGACACGGCCCAGACUCCUACGGGAAGCAGCAGUGGGGGAUAUUGGACAAUGGGGGCAACCCUGAUCCAGCGACGCCGCGUGAGGGAAGAAGGUUUUCGGAUUGUAAACCUCUGUUGACGGAGAAAAAAAUGAUGGUAUCCGUUUAGAAAGCCACGGCUAACUACGUG